AGUGAACGCUGGCGGUAGGCCUAACACAUGCAAGUCGAACGGCAGCACAGUAAGAGCUUGCUCUUACGGGUGGCGAGUGGCGGACGGGUGAGGAAUACAUCGGAAUCUACUUUUUCGGGGGGCUUAACGUAGGGAAACUUACGCUAAUACCGCAUACGACCUACGGGUGAAAGCAGGGGAUCUUCGGACCUUGCGCGAUUGAAUGAGCCGAUGUCGGAUUAGCUAGUUGGCGGGGUAAAGGCCCACCAAGGCGACGAUCCGUAGCUGGUCUGAGAGGAUGAUCAGCCACACUGGAACUGAGACACGGUCCAGACUCCUACGGGAGGCAGCAGUGGGGAAUAUUGGACAAUGGGCGCAAGCCUGAUCCAGCCAUACCGCGUGGGUGAAGAAGGCCUUCGGGUUGUAAAGCCCUUUUGUUGGGAAAGAAAAGCAGCAGGUUAAUACCCCGCUGUUCUGACGGUACCCAAAGAAUAAGCACCGGCUAACUUCGUG
RNAcentral lists this ribosomal RNA (492 nucleotides) under uncultured bacterium. RNAcentral's name for it is "partial 16S ribosomal RNA". It matches the Rfam family "Bacterial small subunit ribosomal RNA", at positions 29 to 507 of the family's 1533-position model. The record is from RNAcentral.